GUAAGGAUGAGGAAACAUUAUUUAUGAAAUUGAAAUCCUUUUUCCAGUAUUACUUCAUGUGGUAAUAUUUUGGCCCAAACCUUUUCCUCUAGAAGGAAGGAAGUGGCUGCAACAUAAGAGUUUAUGGUCAUCCACUUUGUCCUGUUAAAUAUAGAGAAGACUUAAAUCCAUAUCUGUUCUUACCUAAAUGUUUAAAAAUUUGCAAAGACAUAAUUGGGAAAUGGGGGGGGGUGAUGACCAAGGUACAUUGUACU
Molecule: long non-coding RNA, 254 nt
Organism: Perognathus longimembris pacificus (Pacific pocket mouse)
Lineage: Eukaryota; Metazoa; Chordata; Mammalia; Rodentia; Heteromyidae
Exons: 2
Source: RefSeq, a predicted model, not a curated record